Molecule: regulatory RNA element, 80 nt
Rfam family: ZMP/ZTP riboswitch aptamer (pfl RNA motif)
About the family: Previously known as pfl RNA. ZMP is also known as AICAR.
Source: Rfam
GAAGUUUUCCGCAACUGACGGAUUGGUGGGUCACCACCGGGGAACGGGAAAUUAUAACGCCGACCGUCUGGGCAGUUUUG